GACGAACACUGGCGGCGUGCUUAACACAUGCAAGUCGAACGGAAAGGCCCUGCUUUUGUGGGGUGCUCGAGUGGCGAACGGGUGAGUAACACGUGAGUAACCUGCCCUUGACUUUGGGAUAACUUCAGGAAACUGGGGCUAAUACCGGAUAGGAGCUCCUGCUGCAUGGUGGGGGUUGGAAAGUUUCGGCGGUUGGGGAUGGACUCGCGGCUUAUCAGCUUGUUGGUGGGGUAGUGGCUUACCAAGGCUUUGACGGGUAGCCGGCCUGAGAGGGUGACCGGCCACAUUGGGACUGAGAUACAGCCCAGACUCCUACGGGAGGCAGCAGUGGGGAAUAUUGCACAAUGGGCGGAAGCCUGAUGCAGCAACGCCGCGUGCGGGAUGACGGCCUUCGGGUUGUAAACCGCUUUCGCCUGUGACGAAGCGUGAGUGACGGUAAUGGGUAAAGAAGCACCGGCUAACUACGUG
RNAcentral lists this ribosomal RNA (468 nucleotides) under uncultured bacterium. RNAcentral's name for it is "partial 16S ribosomal RNA". It matches the Rfam family "Bacterial small subunit ribosomal RNA", at positions 28 to 507 of the family's 1533-position model. The record is from RNAcentral.